This 253-nucleotide ribosomal RNA is filed under the name uncultured bacterium. RNAcentral's name for it is "partial 16S ribosomal RNA". It matches the Rfam family "Bacterial small subunit ribosomal RNA", at positions 524 to 776 of the family's 1533-position model. The record is from RNAcentral.
UACAGAGGUCUCAAGCGUUGUUCGGAUUCAUUGGGCGUAAAGGGUGUGUAGGAGGCUAGGUAAGUCAGGUGUGAAAUCUCACAGCUUAACUGUGAAACUGCGCUUGAUACUGCUUGGCUAGAGGAUCGGAGGGGGUAACGGAAUUCAUGGUGUAGCAGUGAAAUGCGUAGAUAUCAUGAGGAACACCGGUGGCGAAGGCGGUUACCUGGAAGAUUCCUGACUCUGAAACACGAAAGCCAGGGGAGCAAACGGG